CGCCGAUCCUCACGCACAAAUCCUUCUUCACAGAGAAUUUAUCCCCGUUGUGUAGCACCACCUACGGUCAGUGUCAUAGCCGACUCUCCCCUUCGCGCACACGGCCACAUCGUCACGGACUCCCUCUCUUUCUCUAUGAUUUAGACAAAAACAGAAUUGGGCUGUGACAAAAUUAAACCACCGGAGAUAACCUUUGCAAGAUUCAUCGCCUCGAUUAGUACUGCCAUCGUGUCCAGUGGAAGGUGGCAUUGCACAGCCCUGUUCGAAGU
Long non-coding RNA from Juglans microcarpa x Juglans regia, 269 nucleotides. RefSeq lists it as uncharacterized. The transcript is spliced from 3 exons. NCBI's taxonomy places the organism in Eukaryota, Viridiplantae, Streptophyta, Magnoliopsida, Fagales, Juglandaceae. The record is from RefSeq and is a predicted model, not a curated record.